Pristis pectinata (smalltooth sawfish) is the source of this 1212-nucleotide long non-coding RNA. RefSeq lists it as uncharacterized. The transcript has 3 exons. Lineage: Eukaryota; Metazoa; Chordata; Chondrichthyes; Rhinopristiformes; Pristidae. The record is from RefSeq and is a predicted model, not a curated record.
CCUCUAUCGAGGUGAAGGCUCUCGGUCCAAAACAUCGACUGUCCAUUUCCCUCCACAGGUGCUGCCCGACCCGCUGAGUUCCUCUGGCACCUUGCUCUGUUCUCCAGAUCCCAGCAUCCGCAGUCUCUGUGUCUCCACAGUGAUUCCUGCUUCUGUGCGCUCCGUCCGGUCCCUGUGUAUCUUCUCACCCUGCGGGAUGUUUUCAGCAAGGAUGCCUGUCACCCUGGCCAUACCCUUUUCUCUCUUCUACCUUCAGGGAGAAGAUGCAGGAGCUUGAACGCCCGGACGUCCACAUAAGUGCAGCUUCUUCCCCACCGCUGUCAGACUUCUGACCCAGUCACCUCUCUCACACCCCUUCCCGGUGGCGCUGCCCCGUACUCUUCACUCGAUCUCUCUCGAUUAUUCCCUUGUGGUCACUUUAAUAUAUUUUGAUACAGUACUUCAAAGGGCAAUCUCUGCCCCAGUCUGCGGCUGUUGCGCUCGUCGUUGUAUUUACUGUUGUGCGUAUCAUUAUACCGUUUACUCUGCAAACUUCCUGCGACCGAUGCUUUUCAUGCACCCUGGGACAUAGGACAAGAAUGUAAUAUAAUCAACUUUACCACUUUCCGCCUGACUGACCCUAAUUUAUUUGAACCGUCUCCGGAAUUGACGUUUGACGACUCCACGCCGUUUCCCUGCGGAAGCAAUCCCUGUGUGCGAGUUGCUGCCGGGUGUGCGGUUUCCCUCCUCUGUUCACAAUGUUCCUGCUGUCGGCAUCAAUGAAGAUCCCUUGUUGUGCCACCGACUGUUUAUUCUGAGCCCAGACAUACGCCCCGCCCACCUUCAGCCCACCCAUUGACGCCGCACCUCCAACUCACCUGGCAGGGGAGACGGAGAGCAGCGGGAGGCAACCUGCGAGCUUCAGUGCUCCCCCUUUGUGUGUGGCUGAGGGGCCAGUGAAGCUUCACCUGCCGCUGCAAAUGCAGGUCGGUGCCGGUCUCCAGCGGAUUCAGCAACUAGUGAGAGUGGUGUGCAUCUCUGGCAACAAAAGACAACACCAAGCACCCCUUCCUGAAGGUCUGCACAACAACAAUGAAAAUACAUUCACUGAUGCCACAACUGUAGAAACCCAGAGGUGACGAAGAAGUUUGAUGAGGACAGGCUGGUAAAAGUUGUCCACAUGACUUUUGGCGAGGCCCUGAAAAUGUCCUGCCUGGUCGGCUGAUCUGGAAG